UUGGCCGUUUCCUAAACCCCAGGCGUGAGGCGUCAGGCGUGGCCUACAGGUAGCUCCUGAGGGGAGGGACAGAGGGGUGCGGAUAUUUGGGGGUGGGGGACUGCGUCUCGCCUCCGGUGUCCGCGCGGCACGUGUAGCGGGACUGUCAGUAGGGGAAAGAGCGAUGGCUUCGGUACCACUUCCUCCGCGGGUGGUGAGGCUCGCGGUUCCCGUUCCCGCGGCGCAGGCGCAGGCGCAGGCGGAGGCGGAGGCGCUUCUGCGGCGGCAGGUUCCGGUGGGGGCCUAGCCAGUCCGCGUUCUCCCGCACAUUCUUCUUCUUCCGGCUAGGCCUCUUCGUCUUCCGCCGGCGGCGGCGACGUCAGCGCCGGAGGCGGCUGCGCGGACGAAGCCCCGGGUGCGGCCACCAAGGGCGGGGCCGGCUGCAGCCGUGAAGCCGGCGGGAACACCAGCGGCUCUUGCCGCCGCGGCUGCCCUUCUACCAGCGGUUCCGGUUGCCACUACCGCUAUUCAGGCAGCGGUUCCUGUUGCCACCACCGUCAUUCAGGCAGCGGCUCUUGUUCCCACUACCGUGAUUCAGGCAGCGGUUCCUGUUCCCACUACCGUCAUUCAGGCAGCGGCUCUUGUUCCCACUACCGUCAUUCAGACAGCGGCUCUUGUUCCCACUACCGUCAUUCAGACAGCGGCUCUCGUUCCCACUACCGUAAUUCUACCCGUGACCCUUGUCGUCACGACUGUCCUUCUACCCGUGACCCUUGUCGUCACGACUGUCCUUCUCCCCAUCCUUCCUAUUCUACUCCCCCUCCCUCUUCCCCCUUCCUGUCCCCUCCCACUUGGGCUUCCCCCUCCUCUUCCUCUUCUUCCUGCUGUGUCGCCCCCUCCUCUCCCCGUCACGACCCAAAUAGAAGUACACGUUACCUUUCUGCUUCGGCCUCACGAAGGUCUUGUCGCACAAACCGAACGGGUUCCGCUUCUAUCUACACCACCUCUUCUAGGCUGGUCCCCGCUUCGACAAGGACAUACUGAAACUGGACUUCGAAGAGAUACCCCACAUGUUCCGUUGCCGUUCUCCUCCCUACCUAGAACACGCUGCACGCAAGUUGCCCUUUAAGGGACGAGUCCAGUUUAAGUCCUAACUAUUUCUAACAGAAGGCGAAGGACUCUCAUCAAAGUUCGUACGGUAAUUCCUCUUGAUACUAAGUUUCCCUUUUAAGUGGGUUCUCGAGUUAAGAUCUGUUCAGGCAUUCGAUGACCGUGAUAUGUUCGGUUAAUUGUAUGUAGCCGGUAGAAGGGUUGUACAAGUUCUUCAAGGAGCCUGUUUGGCACAACUUUCCGAGGACGGAGUGAUACAACUUCUUUCCGCUGUCGGUAUACUAAUACUUCUUUCCUCCGACGGUGCUAUAGUACUUCUUUACGUUGUGGGUGUUAAACGACUCCUUUCCUCCAAUCGGAUACUAAUACUUCUUUCUUCCGGUAGUGAGGUACAACUUCUUUAAGCUGCGGGUGUUAAACAACUUCUUCGAGUCGGUGGAUGUAUGAUAGUACAACGAGGACGAGGAGUACCAAGUAUGGUAGGUGUAGUUCGAUUAUAGUAAAUACUUUCCCGAGGUCGACUGCGGCGGUUGUCCCACCUAGGUAAGGAAGGUUCUCUGAUGUCCCACGGCGGCGUCCUCCAGCGGCGCGUGGGGUCGAUGCGACUGCUCUAGAUGGCACCACGAAUGGGGCGGCGAGUCCUGGACAGGAUGCGCCGGUCCGGACGGCGAAUGGGCCGUUUGGAGGUCCCCGGACGACGAAGUUCCCACGGCCACAGGAGGGAGAUGAGCAAGCGGCCGCGUGGCCGCAUGUCUACUAGCGACGUCGCGGACGAGACUUUGGCCAGGACUGGUCGUACUAAGCGACCAACCACCACAUCGAUCGCAGCAGAAGACUAUGUAUGACAUCAGCAAACAACCUAGGGACUGAACCUACAGCAAACGGUGUUCACACCAUGGACCUUGCACAGCAAACGGUGUUCACCCCAUGACCUUGCACAGCAACCGACAAUUUGUUCACUGAAAGGACUGUUCACGACGGCACCAGAACGUUCACACC
Molecule: ribosomal RNA, 2088 nt
Filed under: Triticum aestivum (bread wheat)
Lineage: Eukaryota; Viridiplantae; Streptophyta; Magnoliopsida; Poales; Poaceae
Description: partial small subunit ribosomal RNA
Source: RNAcentral